This 465-nucleotide ribosomal RNA is filed under the name uncultured bacterium. Its description in RNAcentral is "partial 16S ribosomal RNA". It matches the Rfam family "Bacterial small subunit ribosomal RNA", at positions 338 to 795 of the family's 1533-position model. The record is from RNAcentral.
CCUACGGGAGGCUGCAGUAGGGAAUCUUCCACAAUGGGCGCAAGCCUGAUGGAGCAACACCGCGUGAGUGAAGAAGGGUUUCGGCUCGUAAAGCUCUGUUGUUGGAGAAGAACGUGCGUGAGAGUAACUGUUCACGCAGUGACGGUAUCCAACCAGAAAGUCACGGCUAACUACGUGCCAGCAGCCGCGGUAAUACGUAGGUGGCAAGCGUUAUCCGGAUUUAUUGGGCGUAAAGCGAGCGCAGGCGGUUGCUUAGGUCUGAUGUGAAAGCCUUCGGCUUAACCGAAGAAGUGCAUCGGAAACCGGGCAACUUGAGUGCAGAAGAGGACAGUGGAACUCCAUGUGUAGCGGUGGAAUGCGUAGAUAUAUGGAAGAACACCAGUGGCGAAGGCGGCUGUCUGGUCUGCAACUGACGCUGAGGCUCGAAAGCAUGGGUAGCGAACAGGACUAGAUACCCGGGUAGUC